This 497-nucleotide ribosomal RNA is filed under the name uncultured bacterium. Its description in RNAcentral is "partial 16S ribosomal RNA". It matches the Rfam family "Bacterial small subunit ribosomal RNA", at positions 28 to 507 of the family's 1533-position model. The record is from RNAcentral.
GAUGAACGCUGGCGGCGUGCCUAAUACAUGCAAGUCGAGCGAACAGACGAGGAGCUUGCUCCUCUGACGUUAGCGGCGGACGGGUGAGUAACACGUGGAUAACCUACCUAUAAGACUGGGAUAACUUCGGGAAACCGGAGCUAAUACCGGAUAAUAUAUUGAACCGCAUGGUUCAAUAGUGAAAGACGGUUUUGCGGUCACUUAUAGAUGGAUCCGCGCCGCAUUAGCUAGUUGGUAAGGUAACGGCUUACCAAGGCAACGAUGCGUAGCCGACCUGAGAGGGUGAUCGGCCACCCUGGAACUGAGACACGGUCCAGACUCCUACGGGAGGCAGCAGUAGGGAAUCUUCCGCAAUGGGCGAAAGCCUGACGGAGCAACGCCGCGUGAGUGAUGAAGGUCUUCGGAUCGUAAAACUCUGUUAUUAGGGAAGAACAAAUGUGUAAGUAACUAUGCACGUCUUGACGGUACCUAAUCAGAAAGCCACGGCUAACUACGUG